GCCAGACUCCUACGGGAGGCAGCAGUGAGGAAUAUUGGUCAAUGGCCGGAAGGCUGAACCAGCCAAGUCGCGUGAGGGACGACUGCCCUAUGGGUUGUAAACCUCUUUUAUAAGGGAAGAAUAAAUGCUACGUGUAGCAUGAUGCCUGUACCUUAUGAAUAAGCAUCGGCUAACUCCGUGCCAGCAGCCGCGGUAAUACGGAGGAUGCGAGCGUUAUCCGGAUUUAUUGGGUUUAAAGGGUGCGUAGGCGGGAGGCCAAGUCAGCGGUAAAAAUGCGGUGCUCAACGCCGUCGAGCCGUUGAAACUGGCGUUCUUGAGUGGGCGAGAAGUAUGCGGAAUGCGUGGUGUAGCGGUGAAAUGCAUAGAUAUCACGCAGAACUCCGAUUGCGAAGGCAGCAUACCGGCGCCCUACUGACGCUGAGGCACGAAAGCGUGGGUAUCGAACAGGAUUAGAUACCCUAGUA
This 464-nucleotide ribosomal RNA is filed under the name uncultured bacterium. RNAcentral's name for it is "partial 16S ribosomal RNA". It matches the Rfam family "Bacterial small subunit ribosomal RNA", at positions 330 to 792 of the family's 1533-position model. The record is from RNAcentral.